This 254-nucleotide ribosomal RNA is filed under the name uncultured bacterium. RNAcentral's name for it is "partial 16S ribosomal RNA". It matches the Rfam family "Bacterial small subunit ribosomal RNA", at positions 524 to 776 of the family's 1533-position model. The record is from RNAcentral.
UACAGAGGGUGCGAGCGUUGUUCGGAAUUACUGGGCGUAAAGCGCGCGCAGGCGGCCUUUUAAGUCUGACGGUGAAAUGCCGGGGCUCAACCCCGUGCCCGCCGGAGAUACUGGGAGGCUGGAGACGAGUAGAGGCAAGCGGAAUUCCGGGUGUAGCGGUGGAAUGCGUAGAGAUCCCGAGGAACUCCUGUGGCGAAGGCGACUUUCUGGGCCUGCUUUGACACUCAGACGCGAAAGCAUGGGGAGCGAACGGG